This 448-nucleotide long non-coding RNA is filed under the name Homo sapiens (human). Its description in RNAcentral is "non-protein coding lnc-FAM92A-6:3". Lineage: Eukaryota; Metazoa; Chordata; Mammalia; Primates; Hominidae. The record is from RNAcentral.
CUUGACAAUGGUGACCUCUACUCCCUUGAAAAUACUUGAAAAAAAUAUUUCCUAUGGGCUAAAGAAUAAGUGAGAGGUAUGUGAACAAUGGAAGAAUAGUUUCCAUUUAAGAUGGCUUCAGGAAAGUGGUGCUUGUAAGAAGAAUCAAGUUCCAAUUAAUGUCAAGAGAUUGUUGUGGCAUCUGGACACAUGACACACUUGAAAACAACACAUUAAAUUUAUACUGCCUGGAAUAGACAAAAAGCUGCCUUGUAAGCAUCAUCAACAAUGCUCAUCAUUGGGGGAGGGGUGUGCUGCAUUAGCUGGGUCCCAUGGAAUUAUAUUUUUAAAUUCUAAACUUUUCACAAAUAUAAAAGGGAUAGGCAUUUCAAAUCUGAAAGGCCACAUGAGGGAGAUAACUUCUAUUAAAUAGCAAUUUUUUCAAGUACGAAAAUGAUUGUUAUGAUUC